AACUGCAAUCUGCUGCUACUACUCAACCAUUGGGGUAUUGAACCUGUUAGCCUACAAUUUGCAAUGAUGAGAACCUUCAAUCUUUCAAAAUGAAGGGUUGGAUCAGCAGGCAAUUCUUCGUCACGGAAAUUCAAGGUGAGAACCAAAGUAGUUAGGUUCUGGCAAUGCUGUAGGAUUUUAAGGGCAGAUGAAAUAUUGGAAAUGCUUGAAUUUGACAGUGAGAGGUAAGAGAGGCUAUGAAAAUUCUUGAAGCUUUCUGGUAUUUGGCCACUAAAGUUGUUCCGGGCAAUAUUUAUGUUAUUCAGAUGCCGACAAGAGGGAAGAUUGGACGGAAUAGGCCCAUCAAACCGAUUGGAACCUAGAUCAAUAGAGGCCAAACUAGUCAUUGCUGAACAAUUAAGAUCAAUUGAACCCUCCAAUGAAUUGUUCCUCGCAUUAAUCAAAGAGAGAGUCGGGGAACUCGCCAAGGAAGCGGGUAUCUGACCACUAAAAUUAUUCGAAUGAGCAACAAAAUACUGUAAUCUUCCAAGGCUGUCGAAAACAUCUGGGAUAGUUCCUGAAAACCCAUUAGUCGAGAUAUCCAAGCGAACAAGGUUAAUGAGGUUACCAAUUUCUUUGCUAAGCUGCCCGGAAAGCUUGUUAUCUUGAAUGUUCAGUCGGGUUAGCUUUUGCAGGCGAAAUAUACCUUCGGGUACACCGCCUGUAAAAGCAUUCAUGCCCAGACAGAGGUCCUCCAACGAACUACAAUUGCCAAGGCCUGGUGGGAGAUCACCAGUGAAGUAGUUCACAGCCAAUUUCAGUGCCCGAAGCUGAGUAGAAUUGUUACAGAUGCUAGGUGGAAGAGAACCAUUCAAAAAGUUUUGAGAAAUUUCAAGGAACUGGAUUGAAGGUAAAUCAAUAUCGGCUGGAAUGGGGCCAGAGAAGUCAUUAGAGCUCAAGUCUAACAGCUCCAAAUUUGGCAAAUGGAAAAGUGGAAUCGGAAGCGAGUGUUGGAGGAAAUUGUGAGAGAGAUUGAGGGUUCUAAGCUGGUCCAACAUGCCUAAAGAUUCAGAGAGGUUGCCAGCUAGUCUUUUCUUUGGAAGCUCCAACUUAACCACUCUAUAGGUAUCUAUAGAGGAAUCGUUCAAUCCAAGAGAGGAUGAAGAGUUGCAAGUGAUGCCUGCCCACUCACAGCAAUUAGAUGAUAAAUUGUUCCCCCACCCUUCAAUCACAGUUUCUAUGCCUUUCAUGAAAUCCUCCAAUGCUUUCAAAUCAUUUGGAUUGCAUGUCAGGUUCUGAGAGCUCGAAACCUGAGCUUGGAAGCAAAACCCAAUAACAAUGAUGACCAACCAGAAGUCUUGAGCACCCAUAUCAGAGAAACACACCCACAGGGGUACAGAUAGAAGAAAAGAGAAGAAUAGAUCAAGAAUGUACAAUCAAGUAGCAGCACAACCCUUGUCAAGAACCAUGCUUUAUGAACUGGGUUUUCUUGUUUCAAACAUUAUGACUGAGGACUGAAAGCAAAUAGAAGAAAACAAAAGAAAAUUAAGCAAAAUUAAACAAUGGGGUUAUCUUGUAUGUGAAGCAGGAAAGCAAAACAAAAUGAGGAGCAAAAAGAAAAAGACUGACCUGCCAGAUAGAGGAAUGGAAGAAAGAAGGGAAAAUGGCUGGCUUCGUGUCUUUGACUUCAAAACACGUUUUCUGCUAUGAAUCAAUGAAUUCAUGUGCCAAUGGAUGAAAGCUUUGCUCCUCUUUUUCACUUCCAGUUCUCACAGAUUUUAUUUUAUUUUGGUUGCAAGAUUUUCUUUUCAAUUUAGGCUGCAAGGCUUCUUCUGUUGUCAGUAUUUUUAUGAGAAAUCUGGUAAAGUGGAAACCGGGGGACUGUAACAUGGUGACCGGCAAAAGCCGGUCAGUGGCAAUGAAAAUGAGGCUCGCUUGGAUGAGAUAUGGACAGCAAGAGAGGCAUAAAGUCAACUACUGGGUGGCGACACGUGCACUCAGUCUUAUAAACUGCGCGGUUUCGGCCGACGCCGACUUCAUAAAAUUUGACAGGUUGCGGUUGCCUCAAUUUAAUACCAUGAUCCUUUUUUCUUUUUUUUUUGUAUUUUUCUUUCUUUAGUAAUUAUUUUUCUCAAUACAACUUACAAGCAAUAAUCUUAACUAACAAAAAAAGACUCGAACUUAGGUUUAAGAAAACGAACUCAUUCCUUUAGUCAUUAGAAUAGGGGAAAAAAAAAAGUUGGAAAUCAACCAACGGUUCGACAUUGAACAAGAAGUGGAAAAUUAAGAAAAUAGGGAAAUUAUCAUGACUUAAAUUAAGAUCUGUACGAUUUGCAAGAAUUUAGAUAGAGACAUUUAGAAAGCUUGAUGGUUGAAUUAGGAUUGGGUUUCGAUUUUCAAUAAUGUGACAAAUGAUGUAUACAAUAAAUAUCUACUAAAAUUUAUUUGAUUAAUUAACAUAUCGUGUGCAUAUAUCACUUAGAGUAUUCACAAUGAUGCUCUCUAUUUCUUAGCUAAAAUUUAGCUAAAAAUAUAAGAAAGUUAUUUUAGAAGCUCUCUAAAAAAUUUCAUCUCCAACCAUACUCCAUAAUUUGAAGAGUCAUAAAUGCUAUAACUCUUUUUUGAUUGGUCUAUCUCUAUUAAAAAAUAAAAUAAAAAAUAGUUAGCAUUAAAUAAAGGUUUGAAAUACUCAUUUAAUAAAGCAGCAUUAAAUUAUAGGGAGCCAAGCAUGGUUGGAGUUGCAUUUUUACAAUUCCUUCCUAAAAUUUGUCUAAGGAGGUGGUUUAGAGAGCUCAUUGUAGAUGCUCUUACUAAAUUAUGUGGUACUGUUUGCAAAGGACUCACUAGUGUAGUGGUUUGAAGUAUUUACUCUUUCAGGCAAGGUCCUGGGUUCGAGUCCUAGCAUCCGUGUAGUGUGUGUGAAUUUAGUAUGCUAUCGCCAUUCUUAAUAGGAAAGGUUCUAAAAAAAAAAAAAAAUUUAUGCGAUACUGCUACAAAAAUAUAAUCAAAUUAACAUUUUUCUUUUCCAAACUUGAAAUUUAUUGAAUAUUUUAUUUUCAUUUCGUGGUAAGUUCAGGUGAAUGACUCAGUAAAUUUAUUUGCACUAGAGAACUCCAACGUCAACCAACCCUCGUCCACCGAAAGGAAUUCGGGGACAAGUUGAGAAAUAAAUCGAAUCCCCGUGCACAGACCGCUGUUGAAGACUUUGCUCUGUGUAUUCCAAUAUUGAUUAUUUAUUUCAAUUUUUAAUGAAUUUAUGGUCCUCACUUUCUCUUAUUUUUGUUUCACGGUAUUCUCCUCAUAUAUAAUAUUUACGAGUAAUAUAUAUUCAAUUGAAUUUCAAUUUAAUAUUGGAAACGCAUUAAGCAGAAGAACGUUAUAAAGGUAAACCAAGAAGCAUAUAUGAUUGCUUUAGCAAGAAAAUGGAUGGUUUUUUGUUUCUUUUUCACAUAGUGAUAUUCUAAUUACUCUAAUGUACAUGAAGGGGAUCGAACUCUUGUUACUUUAAUUAGUACUAUUAGAUAUUUACAAAUUUUAUUUUAUGUAGAUGUCUAUAUAUUAUUAUCGUGUGAACAUCAUGUAUUUUUUACUAUCUUUCUUUAUUUUCCUGACGUUCCUACAAUAAUAACAUAUAGACGUCUAUAUAUAGGAGAAAAACUGUAGAUAUAUAAAUAGAUAAUAAUAUGAAGAUGAUGGCGUGGUGAGCCGGAAAUUUGAGACUUUAUAAUGUUGGUAAACCAAGUCCGCAAUAAUCAGAAUAGUCAAAUACGUAUGUCUCAUAUCAAGAAGACUCUCAUCAACUCUCAAAUCUCAAUAUUCUCAACAAAAUAUAAACAACUAAACACGACCAAAAACAAGAACAUAAAAACAAAGAAAUACAAAGAAACAAGGGUCAAAGAUGAACAGCAGGGUAGGGCCAUAUGCAUGGACUAGGACGUUUUAGGGUUCACAUAGGCAGGCGGGCAGGGGUCCAGAGAUCUCGUUGUGGGGCAUAUAUGUUACGUACACAGACACAAUACAACAUCAUUCACAGAAAACGUAAGUAGGACUAAAACAUCUCAUUCUCAGUCAUCCGUGUCGACUUUCUUAAGCAUGAAAAUGAAUCGGGUUUUAGCAUUUCGGGUCAGGUCAAGGCCGCAGGGUUAGGUUAGGUCUAACUAAUUUUCAUAUAGCUUUUUUUAAAAAAAAAUUGUGGGAUCUACUACAAUAUGAAGGACUGAGUCAGUAGCACAUCACGUGUAUCACACUAAAGAAAAAGAAGAUGAAUGAGAAAGGUAUACGUGACCAUUUGAUCUUGAUGAGUGAAUGUUCAUUAUCUUUUCACCAACAAAAGGAGAAAAUUAAAUACAAAAAAAACAGAUAUUUUUGAAGAAUGAAAUAUGUCACAUGUACUAUCUUAUCCUAAAGGUUAGCCUUUCAAUAGACAAAUACGGUUUGCAAGUUGCCUGUAAAUCUAAUUCUUUAUUUUUAUUUUUUAACUUCAAAAUGUUAAUUAAACUAUCGAACUAAUUAAAUCUCACUUUUUUAAAAUAAUUUAAUUUAAUUUUGCAUGUUUGAUAGAUUUGGUGAAUGACUACGGACAUGAUAAAUGAGAAUUAUGGUACAUAGAUUAUAUAGUAAGGUGGAAAUAUGCUCAAAGUCAAUUAAUGUUGAACUGGGCAAAAAAUUGAGGGUUGUCCCUAGGACGGCCUAGGCAGAGGAAGCAUAUUUUGUGGACUUUUAACCCAACAUGGAAACUCUAGCUCUUUUUUUUUGGGUAAAUAGCAGGACAUGUCCCAAUAUUUGAAGGGUGUGAUUAAUUCUCGCUCUGGGUUCUGCUUGCCCCUGACCACAAAUUGCUCCCAACUGAUUUCAAAUCUCUGCCAUCGAGGCGCAAAGCCAUAUAAUUUACCAACCGCACCACACGUUGUGGUUUCAAACCCCUAAACCCUCUAGCUCUUCCUUCAAAUGUGAAUGUGAUACGCUACAAACCUUUGCCCUAUAAUUACUUUAUUAGGAGGAGGAGGAUUAAUCCAAGUACAACUUGGGUUACUUUUCAAUUAAUAAUGCGCAACCUAUCAAAAUAGGAUAGGUACGUGUUUGACUUGAAACAACUUCAUCCAAAAGUAAGAAAAUAUAUAUUCACUAACUCAUAAUUAACAAACACUAGUAAGUAAAUGGAAACAAAUUAAUAGCAACAUCCACAUCCCAAUCCCAUAUACCUUGCUUGAUUGGAUAAUACAUAUAUCACAUUGUGCAAAAGUUGAGCCACUUCAAAUUGCCUCCCACUAUUGGCCGACCACAUUCAUUCGACACGUGGCGUUUCGUUAAAUCUAGUGGCAACGGAUCAUUUCCAAAUAUAUGUUAGCUAGUAGCAUCAUUAUGUUGAUAGCUAGUUAUACUUAUACAUCAUGGAGUUAUAGCAACCAUGUAAUUAAGAAUAAUAAUCAUGGUGUUAUAGAUAGUGGGUUUCGAGUAUAAUCAUGGUGUCAUGCAUCAUAUCCAUAUACUAGUGCUAGAUAAUACAGAAGAUGCAUUUAUGUUACGUGGAAUCUACGUCUUUGGAAAAAUUAAUGUUAAUUAAUCUCAUUUUGAGAAAAACAUGAUUAGGUUUUCACUUUAAAUAACUAGUGCCUUACACGUUUCAACUAAUUGCAUUGCAUUGGUUAUCAUUAAGUAGUUAGCAAGCAAAUCGAUCAUGAAUAUAUGAUAUGUUUAGGUAUGGGCCUUGGCUUGAUGAGAGCCCAUGUCCAUCCAAACUUGAAAUUAAACAAGCCCGCCUAACCUUGAAAGACCGAGCAAGCAUAACGGCUACAUGUUUUGCUUUUAGCUAGGCGUACGAAUUGGUCUUUAAAAGGUCCAUACGUAUCUAUCUAUCCCAAUGAAACAUGUAAUUCCAAAUACAAAUCCAACGGCCAUUCCGACAAUCAUUCCUGUAUAUUUGUUUGAUUCUCUGGGUGACCAUGGUCCGAGAGAAGGAUCAUCAUCAGGAAGCUCGGGUGGACAGGGGAGAAUGAGGCCGCCGCAGAGACUAUUAUUCCCUCCUUCAAAGCUUGAACUUGAGAAGGUCCAGAACUGGCCUCCUCCAGGGAUCAUCCCAUGUAAUUCAUUGUCUGCAACAUUAAACUUUGACAGAAAGCUCAGAUUAACCAACGAAGGCGGUAUUAUCCCCGAAAGCCUGUUACCAGACAUAUCCAGAGUCUCUAAGCUGAUCAUCCCAGAUAAACUACUCGGAAUUGGUCCCGAUAGAUUGUUGCAUUUGAGAUCCAACACAUGAAGCAAUCUCAGUUUCCCAAACUCUGGCCAGAUUGGUCCACUCAGAUUAUUCUUACUAAGCUCCAGUGUAGGUGGAAAGCUUCGAGCUUGAUUAUACUGCAGUCCUUGUGCAUUUACAUUCCUUUUCAUGAAAAUAGGGAAAUCAGGGGAAGGUUCCUCGAUUGACAUCCUCCUAUCAAUGAGGCUCCUUAGUCCAGUUAUGCUUCUCGGGAUUUCCCCACUAAAAGAAUUGUUAGAUAGGUCCAAGUAGAAGAGAUUGCUAAAAUUGCCAAACCAGACUGGAAUUGUUCCUUCCAAGCGAUUCCAUGACAAAUCCAGCAAUUGCAAUCUGCUGCUACUACUCAACCAUUGGGGUAUUGAACCUGUUAGCCUACAAUUUGCAAUGAUGAGAACCUUCAACCUUUCAAAAUGAAGGGUUGGAUCAGCAGGCAAUUCUUCGUCACGGAAAUUCAAGGUGAGAACCAAAGUAGUUAGGUUCUGGCAAUGCUGUAAGAUUUUAAGGGCAGAUGAAAUAUUGGAAGUGCUGGAAUUUGACACAGAGAGGUAAGAGAGGCUAUGAAAAUUCUUGAAGCUUUCUGGUAUUUGGCCACUAAAGUUGUUC
RNAcentral lists this long non-coding RNA (6835 nucleotides) under Prunus persica (peach). Its description in RNAcentral is "long non-coding RNA (PPER_LNC001382)". The record is from RNAcentral. Lineage: Eukaryota; Viridiplantae; Streptophyta; Magnoliopsida; Rosales; Rosaceae.